GAUGAAGAACGUAGCGAAAUGCGAUAAGUAAUGUGAAUUGCUGAAUUCAGUGAAUCAUCGAAUCUUUGAACGCACAUUGCGCCCCCUGGUAUUCCGGGGGGCAUGCCUGUUCGAGCGUCAUUUCACCACUCAAGCCUCGCUUGGUAUUGGGCAACGCGGUCCGCCGCGUGCCUCAAAUCGACCGGCUGGGUCUUCUGUCCCCUAAGCGUUGUGGAAACUAUUCGCUAAAGGGUGUUCGGGAGGCUACGCCGUAAAACAACCCCAUUUCUAAGGUUGACCUCGGAUCAGGUAGGGAUACCCGCUGAACUUAAGCAUAUCAUAGCGGAGGA
This 329-nucleotide unclassified non-coding RNA is filed under the name soil metagenome. RNAcentral's name for it is "partial contains 5.8S ribosomal RNA, internal transcribed spacer 2, and large subunit ribosomal RNA". The stretch from base 1 to 120 matches the Rfam family "5.8S ribosomal RNA", at positions 35 to 154 of the family's 154-position model. The record is from RNAcentral.